UGAGGAAGUUUCUGUCAUGGGAAGUUUGGAAAGAAUUGGUUGUUUGUUUAUGACAUCAAACUUCUUUCCAAUUCCUCCCAUGCCAGUGGUUUCUCA
This 96-nucleotide microRNA precursor is filed under the name Fragaria vesca subsp. vesca. RNAcentral describes it as "Fragaria vesca miR482a stem-loop (fve-MIR482a)". Its record names the gene fve-MIR482a. Lineage: Eukaryota; Viridiplantae; Streptophyta; Magnoliopsida; Rosales; Rosaceae. The record is from miRBase by way of RNAcentral.